ACAGAUUGAGACUUCCUUCUUCUAUUACGUGGCAAGCUCACAGGCUACGUCCCGCGGGCCACAUGCGGCCAGCCGAAAUGUUUUAUGCGGCCCACCGAAACGUACAGAAAUCAGGUCUCAUUCUACAAAUGUAAUAGUAUACCUAUGAGAAAAAAACAACUUUUUUGCUGACACUUAUUUCGAAAAACAGCAUCAGUUUUAAAACAAAGAAAACGAACUUAGUGUACCACUAAAGAGAAGGAUAAGAACAACACUACGCAUGAUUCUAUCAAUAUAUAAAUACAGUUUACAACAUAAACCAGAGAAUCUAUUGAAUUAACUCUUUGUAGACCACUUUGAAGCUAGCUUCCUGUGUAAGCUACAAUCAGCUGACAGAUUUAAAGUAAACACUCGCAUGUUAUUGACUUACAACCAUUGAAUUCAACGAAAGCCUAGCUUAGUAGUUUAGUUAGCACCAGGAACUUGCAUCGGUAGAACAAAGAAACAUUGAUUAGGUGCUAAACGGUGCAGUCUAUAGUACUAUCAGUUCUUGUUGACAGUGUAGCGUAGAUUUGAAAGCAAUCAUGUUUAAAGUUGGUGCGCUCAAAGAUAUGCUUUUUCUGACUUCCUUGUUGAGUCUAACAUUAAAUGCCAAAGCAGAAUUCAACGUACGGGAAUACUGCUCACAGAGGUGUUUGCGUGGCCAAGGUGGUAUCCUAUGUAAAUGUAACGCCGUACACUUCAAUGGAAAGCGAUCUCAGCCUCUGCACAGCCCAAGACACACAGGGAAUUUUAUACUAGAAACUCAAGAAAGGCCAGACUAUAGAAUUCACGGUGAUCUGCCUAGUACUUCUUGGUUAGAUGAAUCAGAUAUGGAUGAACAGUCAUGGCAGGACUAUCCUAAAUUGUUAAGAAUAGGUCAAGAUUUCUCACACU
Long non-coding RNA from Biomphalaria glabrata, 915 nucleotides. RefSeq lists it as uncharacterized. The transcript is spliced from 2 exons. The record is from RefSeq and is a predicted model, not a curated record. NCBI's taxonomy places the organism in Eukaryota, Metazoa, Mollusca, Gastropoda, Planorbidae.